AUGAAAUGUCUUUUGAAGGGUAGAAUUUUACCCGAUGAUUAUGAACAAAUCCUAUUUAUCCAAUUCCAAAAUUGUGCCCAAGGAAAUAGGACCAUUUCAGAUUACAUGGAAAAGUUUCUAAGGCUACAAGUGAGGUGCAACCUUGCCGAAACUGAAGAUCAACAGGUUGCAAGGUACAUCAAUGGUCUCAAUGAUGCUAUUCAAGAUCGAUUGAUGAUGCAACAAAUCUGGUCCAUUGAUCAAGCACAAGCUCUAGCAUUGAAGGCCGAGAGGUUUGUGAGGACAAGAAAAACAACUAAGGCUCCAUACCCUCCAUAUCCUCAUACUGAAGGUUCGUCUAGGGAUCACAGUAAUAGAGCGAAAGAAAAGACCGCUCCACCAAAGGCAAAACAACCCAUCCUGAAGCAAACCAUAGGCAAGGUGAUGUAG
RNAcentral lists this ribosomal RNA (429 nucleotides) under Triticum aestivum (bread wheat). RNAcentral's name for it is "partial small subunit ribosomal RNA". The record is from RNAcentral. Lineage: Eukaryota; Viridiplantae; Streptophyta; Magnoliopsida; Poales; Poaceae.